AGUGCAAUGGAUUUAAGCUUCAUAUAUAAAGGAAUACCCUUUUAUUAGAA
Molecule: transfer RNA, 50 nt
Filed under: Simulium dycei
Lineage: Eukaryota; Metazoa; Arthropoda; Insecta; Diptera; Simuliidae
Description: partial tRNA-Leu
Source: RNAcentral